Molecule: long non-coding RNA, 375 nt
Organism: Heterocephalus glaber (naked mole-rat)
Lineage: Eukaryota; Metazoa; Chordata; Mammalia; Rodentia; Bathyergidae
Source: Ensembl
CAGAUCCUGCAUGUAGCAUCGCAGUUCAAAGCACAGCUCGAGGGGCCCAGUCACAGAACCAGUCAGCAAGCCAAGCAGGUUGCUAUGGUCACCACCUCUGUUCCCUGCCUGCCACACCAGGUGUUGGUGCACUUCCUCCCCAGGGAGGUAGGAACAGCCACCUUCAACCCCCACCACCAAAAGCUGAGCCUGGAUGUCCAAACUGAUGAAGCAGCCCACACACCAAGAGGGUGUGGAGAGUUUCAUCACUCACAGUGCGGCUUUCUGAACAGCAGGGCAGGCUCCCAGCAGAACAUGAUUAUCUGCUUGCUCAGGGAUGCUGGGCAGGUUGUUUUGUCUCCCGUGCAUUUUGGUGUAAUCCCAGGCAGUCUAGCG